This 70-nucleotide transfer RNA is filed under the name Rhipicephalus microplus (southern cattle tick). RNAcentral describes it as "tRNA-Val". It matches the Rfam family "tRNA". From Rfam's summary of the family: Transfer RNA (tRNA) molecules are approximately 80 nucleotides in length. Their secondary structure includes four short double-helical elements and three loops (D, anti-codon, and T loops). The record is from Rfam by way of RNAcentral. Lineage: Eukaryota; Metazoa; Arthropoda; Arachnida; Ixodida; Ixodidae.
GCGUCGGUGGUUCAGUGGUAGAAUACUCGCCUGACACGCGGGUGGCCGGGUUCGAUUCCCGGCCGACGCA